Molecule: ribosomal RNA, 418 nt
Filed under: uncultured bacterium
Lineage: Bacteria
Description: bacterial SSU rRNA
Rfam family: Bacterial small subunit ribosomal RNA
Source: RNAcentral
GGGAAUAUUGCACAAUGGGGGAAACCCUGAUGCAGCGACGCCGCGUGAGUGAAGAAGUAUUUCGGUAUGUAAAGCUCUAUCAGCAGGGAAGAAAUAGCGACCUUUGGGUCGCCAGACGGUACCUGAUUAAGAAGCCCCGGCUAACUACGUGCCAGCAGCCGCGGUAAUACGUAGGGGGCAAGCGUUAUCCGGAUUUACUGGGUGUAAAGGGAGCGUAGACGGCAGCGCAAGUCUGAAGUGAAAUGCCGGGGCUUAACCCCGGAACUGCUUUGGAAACUGUGCAGCUAGAGUGCAGGAGAGGUAAGUGGAAUUCCUAGUGUAGCGGUGAAAUGCGUAGAUAUUAGGAGGAACACCAGUGGCGAAGGCGGCUUACUGGACUGUAACUGACGCUGAGGCUCGAAAGCGUGGGGAGCAAACA